RNAcentral lists this ribosomal RNA (743 nucleotides) under uncultured bacterium. RNAcentral's name for it is "bacterial SSU rRNA". It matches the Rfam family "Bacterial small subunit ribosomal RNA", at positions 8 to 797 of the family's 1533-position model. The record is from RNAcentral.
AGAGUUUGAUCAUGGCUCAGAACGAACGCUGGCGGCAGGCCUUAUACAUGCAAGUCGAGCGCAUCCUUCGGGAUGAGCGGCGGACGGGUGAGUAACGCGUGGGAAUGUGCCCUUCUCUACGGAAUAGCCACUGGAAACGGUGAGUAAUACCGUAUACGCCCUUAGGGGGAAAGAUUUAUCGGAGAAGGAUCAGCCCGCGUUAGAUUAGGUAGUUGGCGGGGUAACGGCCUACCAAGCCUACGAUCUAUAGCUGGUUUUAGAGGAUGAUCAGCCACACUGGGACUGAGACACGGCCCAGACUCCUACGGGAGGCAGCAGUAGGGAAUCUUGGACAAUGGGGGAAACCCUGAUCCAGCCAUGCCGCGUGAGUGAAGAAGGCCUUAGGGUCGUAAAGCUCUUUCGCCUGUGAUGAUAAUGACAGUAGCAGGUAAAGAAACCCCGGCUAACUCCGUGCCAGCAGCCGCGGUAAUACGGAGGGGGUUAGCGUUGUUCGGAAUUACUGGGCGUAAAGCGCGCGUAGGCGGAUUGGAAAGUUGGGGGUGAAAUCCCGGGGCUCAACCCCGGAACUGCCUCCAAAACUGCCAGUCUAGAGUUCGAGAGAGGUGAGUGGAACUCCAAGUGUAGAGGUGAAAUUCGUAGAUAUUUGGAAGAACACCAGUGGCGAAGGCGGCUCACUGGCUCGAUACUGACGCUGAAGUGCGAAAGUGUGGGGAGCAAACAGGAUUAGAUACCCUGGUAGUCCA